AUUGAACGCUGGCGGCAUGACUUACAUAUGCAAGUCGAACGGCAGCACGGGUGCUUGCACCUGGUGGCGAGUGGCGAACGGGUGAGUAAUAUAUCGGAACGUGCCUUAGCGCGGGGGAUAACUAGUAGAAAGAUUAGCUAAUACCGCAUACGAUCUAUGGAUGAAAGAGGGGGAUAGCAAGAACACAUGCUCUUAGAGCGGCCGAUAUCUGAUUAGCUAGUUGGUGGGGUAAAAGCCUACCAAGGCGACGAUCAGGAGCUAGUCUGAGAGGACGACCAGCCGCACUGGGACUUAGACGCGGCCCAGACUCGUACGAGAGGCAUCAGUGGGGAAUUUUGGACAAUGGGGGCAACCCUGAUCCAGCAAUGCCGCGUGAGUGAAGAAGGCCUUCGUGUUGUAAAGCUCUUUUGUCAGGAAAGAAAUCCUAUGCGCUAAUACCGAGUGGGGAUGACGGUACCUGAAGAAUAAGCACCGGCUAACUACGUGCCAGCAGCCGCAGUAA
Molecule: ribosomal RNA, 502 nt
Filed under: uncultured bacterium
Lineage: Bacteria
Description: partial 16S ribosomal RNA
Rfam family: Bacterial small subunit ribosomal RNA
Source: RNAcentral